This 325-nucleotide long non-coding RNA is filed under the name Nicotiana benthamiana. RNAcentral describes it as "long non-coding RNA (NBEN_LNC026600)". The record is from RNAcentral. Lineage: Eukaryota; Viridiplantae; Streptophyta; Magnoliopsida; Solanales; Solanaceae.
ACUUAAUGGGACUUUCAACAAAAGGCUUAAACAAGGAAUCAUGUUGUUCAACAACCAAAAUUAUGCAAAUUUCUAUAUUUCCAUUCAUCUAGAGAUAACAUGGUAUCUAAAUUCUAAAGUUCAUCAUCAACAUAUCAUUCAUGAAAGCAUGCUAUAUUAUGGUACUAGAAUUUCAUAAUCAAAAUUCUAUCUUAAUUUAAACAUGAAGCUUUAUCAUGAAAGCAUGCUAUAUUAUGGUACUAGAAUUUCAUAAUCAAAAUUCUAUCUUAAGUUAAUCAUGAAGCUUUAUAACAUAGAUUUCAUGAACUUCCAAAUGAUCCAAUAC